RNAcentral lists this ribosomal RNA (445 nucleotides) under uncultured bacterium. Its description in RNAcentral is "bacterial SSU rRNA". It matches the Rfam family "Bacterial small subunit ribosomal RNA", at positions 331 to 792 of the family's 1533-position model. The record is from RNAcentral.
CCAGACUCCUACGGGAGGCAGCAGUGGGGAAUAUUGCACAAUGGGGGAAACCCUGAUGCAGCGACGCCGCGUGAGUGAAGAAGUAUUUCGGUAUGUAAAGCUCUAUCAGCAGGGAAGAAAAUGACGGUACCUGAUUAAGAAGCCCCGGCUAACUACGUGCCAGCAGCCGCGGUAAUACGUAGGGGGCAAGCGUUAUCCGGAUUUACUGGGUGUAAAGGGAGCGUAGACGGCAGCGCAAGUCUGAAGUGAAAUGCCGGGGCUUAACCCCGCGGAUUGCUUUUGGAACUGUCAGGCUGGAGUGCAGGAGGGGCAGGCGGAAUUCCUGGUGUAGCGGUGAAAUGCGUAGAUAUCAGGAGGAACACCGGUGGCGAAGGCGGCCUGCUGGACUGUAACUGACACUGAGGCUCGAAAGCGUGGGGAGCAAACAGGAUUAGAUACCCCGGUA